AUUGAACGCUGGCGGCAUGCCUUACACAUGCAAGUCGAACGGUAACAGGUUAAGCUGACGAGUGGCGAACGGGUGAGUAAUGUAUCGGAACGUGCCCAGUCGUGGGGGAUAACUGCUCGAAAGAGCAGCUAAUACCGCAUACGACCUGAGGGUGAAAGCGGGGGAUCGCAAGACCUCGCGCGAUUGGAGCGGCCGAUAUCAGAUUAGGUAGUUGGUGAGGUAAAGGCUCACCAAGCCGACGAUCUGUAGCUGGUCUGAGAGGACGACCAGCCACACUGGGACUGAGACACGGCCCAGACUCCUACGGGAGGCAGCAGUGGGGAAUUUUGGACAAUGGGCGCAAGCCUGAUCCAGCCAUGCCGCGUGCGGGAAGAAGGCCUUCGGGUUGUAAACCGCUUUUGUCAGGGAAGAAAAGGUUCUGGCUAAUACCUGGGACUCAUGACGGUACCUGAAGAAUAAGCACCGGCUAGCUACGUG
RNAcentral lists this ribosomal RNA (477 nucleotides) under uncultured bacterium. RNAcentral's name for it is "partial 16S ribosomal RNA". It matches the Rfam family "Bacterial small subunit ribosomal RNA", at positions 30 to 507 of the family's 1533-position model. The record is from RNAcentral.